Molecule: ribosomal RNA, 406 nt
Filed under: uncultured bacterium
Lineage: Bacteria
Description: partial 16S ribosomal RNA
Rfam family: Bacterial small subunit ribosomal RNA
Source: RNAcentral
AUUGAACGCUGGCGGCAUGCCUAACACAUGCAAGUCGAGCGAGCGGCGGACGGGUGAGUAAUGCAUGGGGAUCUGGCCGAUAGAGGGGGAUAACUACUGGAAACGGUGGCUAAUACCGCAUACUAUCGGAUGAACCCAAUUGGGAUUAGCUAGUAGGUGGGGUAAAGGCUCACCAAGGCGACGAUCUCUAGCUGGUCUGAGAGGAUGACCAGCCACACUGGGACUGAGACACGGCCCAGACUCCUACGGGAGGCAGCAGUGGGGAAUAUUGCGCAAUGGGCGCAAGCCUGAUGCAGCCAUGCCGCGUGUAUGAAGAAGGCCUUAGGGUUGUAAAGUACUUUCGGCGGUGAGGCGUUACCCACAGAAGAAGCACCGGCUAACUCCGUGCCAGCAGCCGCGGUAAUUC